UACGGAGGGUGCGAGCGUUAUCCGGAAUCACUGGGCGUAAAGGGCGUGUAGGCGGCCUGCUAAGUCCGAUGUCAAAGCCCGAGGCUCAACCUCGGUCCGGCGUUGGAUACUGACGGGCUUGACGACUGGAGAGGCAAGUGGAAUUACCAGUGUAGCGGUGGAAUGCGUAGAUACUGGUAGGAACACCCAUUGCGAAGGCAGCUUGCUGGACAGUUUGUGACGCUGAGGCGCGAAAGUGUGGGGAGCAAACCGG
Molecule: unclassified non-coding RNA, 253 nt
Filed under: uncultured Trueperaceae bacterium
Lineage: Bacteria; Thermotogati; Deinococcota; Deinococci; Trueperales; Trueperaceae
Description: contains 16S-23S intergenic spacer region
Rfam family: Bacterial small subunit ribosomal RNA
Source: RNAcentral